CCCCAGACUCCUACGGGAGGCAGCAGUGGGGAAUAUUGCACAAUGGGGGAAACCCUGAUGCAGCGACGCCGCGUGAGCGAUGAAGUAUUUCGGUAUGUAAAGCUCUAUCAGCAGGGAAGAAAAUGACAGUACCUGACUAAGAAGCCCCGGCUAACUACGUGCCAGCAGCCGCGGUAAUACGUAGGGGGCAAGCGUUAUCCGGAUUUACUGGGUGUAAAGGGAGCGUAGACGGCUGUGCAAGCCAGAUGUGAAAGCCCGGGGCUCAACCCCGGGACUGCAUUUGGAACUGUGUGGCUGGAGUGUCGGAGAGGCAGGCGGAAUUCCUAGUGUAGCGGUGAAAUGCGUAGAUAUUAGGAGGAACACCAGUGGCGAAGGCGGCCUGCUGGACGAUGACUGACGUUGAGGCUCGAAAGCGUGGGGAGCAAACAGGAUUAGAUACCCUGGUAAG
This 448-nucleotide ribosomal RNA is filed under the name uncultured bacterium. Its description in RNAcentral is "partial 16S ribosomal RNA". It matches the Rfam family "Bacterial small subunit ribosomal RNA", at positions 329 to 793 of the family's 1533-position model. The record is from RNAcentral.